CACUGAUUAGGUUCCCAGGCUAUCAUUAAUUUAAUACACAUUGUAGCUAAGAUAGGAUUUUGAUACUAUUAUAUUAUAGUGGAUUCAUCUGUGUCCUCCCCAUCCCCCAAAUAUGUUCAAGUCCUAAACUCCUGUACUUGUGAAUGUGACUCUAUUUGGAAAAGGGUUUUUGCAGGCAUAAUCAAAUCAAGAUGAGGUCAUACUGGAUGAGGACAGGCUCUAGAUUCAGUGACUCUUAUCUUCAUAAGAGACUUGGACACAGAGGGAAGAAGAUCAUGUGAGGACGGAGGCAGAGGUUGGCAUUAAGCUUCCACAAGCCAAGGAAUGCCUGGACCCAUCAAAAGUUGGAAAAGGCAAGAAAAGAUUCUCUUCUAGCACCUUCGAUGGAGUGUGGCCAUGCUGACACCUCAGUUUCAGAAUUUUGGCCUCCAGAAUGGCACGGAAACAGAAAGAGCUGUGUGGCCAGGACUGUCUGAUGGACUGCAACCUUCCUUUGAGGGCUGCAUUUACCCACGGUGAAUACAUAGCUUACUCGACCUCCUUCCUCCCUCUGCUCUUUUGCUAGUGUUUGCCAACGGCAGACUCUUAACUGGAAGCCAGAAGGUAAGGGAGCUCACUGAUGAAGCCUGCACUGGUCAACUUUUUGGGCAUAGAGCAGAGUGAGAGAGUGGAUCAGAUGGGAGAUAUCCAUCCCAUGCACAUUUCUGAACACUGCGGUUCCUGCGGCUGAGGGAAAUUAGUGUGUCAUUGGUUAACCAGGGAUGGAGCUGACAAUGAGGCCAGGCUUAUCUCAACUAAAUGAGCUGUGUGUGUGUGCACAUGUGUGCAUGUGCAUAUCACAGCAGACCUUCAUAACAGACCUGUCAUGUGAGUGCAGUUAUGUUUCCCAGGUCAUCAAUAAGGCAACUGAAACAAGCAUGGUUAGGUCACCUACCCAAGGUCACAAAGUCUCACAAGCUUAGUAAGUAUGAGUCCACUGCUUACUUACACAAAUGAGGAUAAGGAGAGACUAUCAGAGUUUCAGGGAAACCAAGAGGGAAGCAGCGAAGAGACACUUACAAUGGCAAAGAAAAAAAUCCCUGGGAAAUUGCUGGUUGUCCUGAAAAUACAUCAUGGUGUGUUACCAGUUAAAGAGAGAGAGGAUCCUGGGCUGGAAAAAAUAGCAGGAGACCACCAUGGGGCAAAUGCAUUUCUCUUGACUUGUGCUUAUUCUAACCAGGCUUGAAGACACACUGAUACUUCUCCUAGGUCUUCUCCUGGCAAGACUGAAGUGAACCCUGAUUGGCCAAGGUGGCCCUGGUUGCUGAGGCUCAGCCUCCUCACCUUAUGUGGAUUUGUUCAUGACCCCCAGUGCAAAGUUCCCUGGAAAACAUGCUCCCCAUGCUGAUGGCUUGGCCUGAUCCACAAGCUUCAAUCUGAGUUGACCUUUGGCUCCCCAUUGGCUGCCACCAAGCCUUGCCCCUUCCAGGCCAGUGUGCGUUGUUCUUCUCCCAUCAUUUGAUACCCAAUUCCAGUUCUUUCUCUCCAUCCCCAAUUUUAGACCAGAUAACAACUUUUAACUGUUUUCCAUUCCAUGGGCUAUUUCUCAUUUAGGUGCUCAGAUCCAGAAUCCCAGUGAUCCGUAAUAAAGCCAAAUUUUUGAGCUAAUUGCCUUUGAGGAUGCUACUUUUCUGUUGGUGCUGCAAGAUGGAAUUUUAGAGACUCUAACUCUAGGCAGCUCCCCUUUCUCCUCACUUCCCCCUUCCAAUAUCAUGCGCUCUCCCAGGGCUCAGUAAAUUACACUAUCACAGCCCACCCUGCAGUGGUCACUUGGCAAAGAAAGGUGCUUCUGAUGGUGGUCGCAGAGGAGUGUCACAGAGGAAAGGCAAACAGGAAGGGAGAGAAGACCAUGGAGAGAAAAUAUUCUUUAAUUCUGAGCUUUGUUGAUGUAGAAACUUCAAACUCUAGACCAAAAAGUUCCCCAGAAUCUUACCAACUUGUACCCCAUUCUCCUCCCUGUCCUUUCUCCUCCUGGCAUCCCCCACCAGGGAGGAACAAAUGGGAAUUGCGCACUUAAAGAACAUGGGGAAAAGGAGACAUUCUUUCUCAGGAAGACAGCAAAACCCCUGUCAUUAUUGACAUAAUGCACUGAGUAUGUAUCCGUAAUACAAUCAUAAAAUAUUCUGUCUUAGGAGAGAGCCUGUGUGCUUGCUGCACUUGUUGCUAUGGCAGCUGGACAGUUUUAAUAACUGCAAAUCACAAGUCUUUGGCUCAUAGGGUCUUUUUUUUUUUUUUUUUCCAGGACCAGCAGUAAUUUCCCAGGGACGUUUUUUCUUUGCCAUUGUAAGUCUCUCUUGGACUGCUCCCCUCUUGGUUUCUCUGAGACUCUGAUAGUUUCUCUUUACCCUCAUUUUAUAAGUGAACAGUGGACUCAUACUUACGAAGCUUAUGAGGCUUUGUGACCUCGGGUAGGUAAUGUAGCUGUGCUUGCCUCAGUUGCCUUAUUUAUGACAUGGGAAUCUAAUUGCACCCACGUGAUAGGUCUGUUGUGAAGAUUAAGCGAGAUAAUGCAAACAAACUGCAGAGCACUGUGCCUGGCGUUAGAAAAUGUUGCUUCUUAUUAUUGAAAAAGGAAAUAUGGAUUACGGGGAUCUUAUAACAGGCAGGAGGAGUUCAGGCCCUGUGAUCUAGCCCUGAGAAGGUGGAUAAGCACUUGGUGUUCCUUUGCUUCAUUGCUUCUCCUGUUUCCUGAUCCUAUGCCUGGGUUAACUCUUGCUUUGCUGGACUUUCCUCUCUCUGCUGUCUCCAACGGGAUGACAAAGAUAGCGGCAGAUGCCAUGAGGACGAGGCCUGUGGCUCAGAUCUUCUUUGGAUCCCCCAGGGCCCCUCACAGGAUGUUUUGCACAUAAUAAGUGCUCAGGAAGUGUCUGUGUGUUGAUACCUGCAUGGGGAGGGGGCCACUCCAAAAAGGGAAAAUGCUACUGAACACCUGUCUGGAGGUGGGAAUUUACAUGAACGAUUCUGGCCUCGCAGGGAAAUUUUCUCCCAGUCCUCUCUGGCUCCCAUUUUCCUUUGGUCAAAGUUCAGUUACCAGCAGCCACCUCUUCACACCUUUGGCUUUUGUCCACUUGACUCCAGCAGCCAUUCAGGAACCAGAACCAGCAUGCUGCCUGGUGCUGCAUUCCAUCCAUUCCCUGUUUCAGCCCAGGUGGAGGACUGACAAGGAGAAGGAAGGAAGGGGAAGACUGAGAGGACACUCGAGAGGUCCAAAGCUGCACUUUGUCUUUCGUCUUCUGCUUUUUCCUUUAGUUAACACAUUAUUUGUAAGUAAUAAUGUACUGCAUUAAGUAAUUAAGUAAUGAAUGCAUACAGUCCUCAUAUAUUGCAUCGGUACAAAAGUAAUUGUGAUUUUUGCCAUUACUUUCAAUGGCAAAAAGAGCAAUUACUUUUGCACCAACCUCAUAUAUGUAUAAAAGUAUUCAAGCAAACAGAAAAAAGUAUGACUUCUCUCUCUGAAGGUCAUUGCUGUUAUCACAUUAGCAUUUAUCCAGAUGCUUUUAUUUAUUUAAAUGUAUACAUACACAUACAC
Molecule: long non-coding RNA, 3568 nt
Filed under: Homo sapiens (human)
Lineage: Eukaryota; Metazoa; Chordata; Mammalia; Primates; Hominidae
Description: HSALNT0360008
Source: RNAcentral